GGAUCAAAAGCUGGCGAGGCGACUCUCUGGUCUGUAACUGACGCUGAGGAGCGAAAGCGUGGGGAGCGAACAGGAUUAGAUACCCUGGUAGUCCACGCCGUAAACGAUGAGUGCUAAGUGUUAGGGGGUUUCCGCCCCUUAGUGCUGCAGCUAACGCAUUAAGCACUCCGCCUGGGGAGUACGGUCGCAAGACUGAAACUCAAAGGAAUUGACGGGGGCCCGCACAAGCGGUGGAGCAUGUGGUUUAAUUCGAAGCAACGCGAAGAACCUUACCAGGUCUUGACAUCCUCUGACAACCCUAGAGAUAGGGCUUUCCCUUCGGGGACAGAGUGACAGGUGGUGCAUGGUUGUCGUCAGCUCGUGUCGUGAGAUGUUGGGUUAAGUCCCGCAACGAGCGCAACCCUUGAUCUUAGUUGCCAGCAUUCAGUUGGGCACUCUAAGGUGACUGCCGGUGACAAACCGGAGGAAGGUGGGGAUGACGUCAAAUCAUCAUGCCCCUUAUGACCUGGGCUACACACGUGYUACAAUGGACAGAACAAAGGGCUGCGAGACCGCAAGGUUUAGCCAAUCCCACAAAUCUGUUCUCAGUUUCGGAUCGCAGUCUGCAACUCGACUGCGUGAAGCUGGAUUGCUAGUA
Molecule: ribosomal RNA, 637 nt
Filed under: Bacillus stratosphericus
Lineage: Bacteria; Bacillati; Bacillota; Bacilli; Caryophanales; Bacillaceae
Description: bacterial SSU rRNA
Rfam family: Bacterial small subunit ribosomal RNA
Source: RNAcentral